GACAGAGGUCUCGAGCGUUAGGCGGAAUCACUGGGCUUAAAGCGUGUGUAGGCGGACUUCUAAGUGCCUUGUGAAAUCCCACGGCUCAACCGUGGAACUGCUUGGCAUACUGGUUGUCUUGGGCCAUCUAGGGGCUACCGGAACAAACGGUGGAGCGGUGAAAUGCGUAGAUAUCGUUUGGAACGCCAAUGGUGAAAACAGGUAGCUGGGGAUGUGCCGACGCUGAGACACGAAAGCCAGGGGAGCGAACGGG
RNAcentral lists this ribosomal RNA (253 nucleotides) under uncultured bacterium. RNAcentral describes it as "partial 16S ribosomal RNA". It matches the Rfam family "Bacterial small subunit ribosomal RNA", at positions 524 to 776 of the family's 1533-position model. The record is from RNAcentral.